AUUUAACGUUGCCACAGGAUGGAUUCUACGAAACCUGUAAAAUGUAGUUUUAAUACUGUACCGGAGGAUCCGGUUCGGGCAAAGCAAGAUCAACUCGAAGAUUUGCAGCAGAACGUGAUUGAGAUCCUGGUAUUUGGAACUGGAAGAGAAUGUGGCCAACCCUAAGUUCGAUGCGUAUCGAGACGACGCAAGCGACCUGCUGACUCUAAAGGACUGCUGUGCCGGAGGAUC
Molecule: long non-coding RNA, 231 nt
Organism: Odontomachus brunneus
Lineage: Eukaryota; Metazoa; Arthropoda; Insecta; Hymenoptera; Formicidae
Exons: 4
Source: RefSeq, a predicted model, not a curated record